Molecule: long non-coding RNA, 837 nt
Filed under: Ananas comosus (pineapple)
Lineage: Eukaryota; Viridiplantae; Streptophyta; Magnoliopsida; Poales; Bromeliaceae
Description: long non-coding RNA (ACOM_LNC028030)
Source: RNAcentral
UGAAUUGCAGAUUUUGGUUGAGGUUACCUUAGUCGAACUGAGGUUUUUCUGGACUGCUGUUGACAUUGAGCUGAAAAUGAUAUUUUUGAGCUUUUCUUGAUGCUAUCUUUGUAGGCAGAGGAAUCUUGGACCUAAGACGCAUCACCCAUCAGUAUUUUCUGGAUUUGGGACUGUCCUCACCUGAUUUGGAGAUCGUUAGGUGAGUUUUGACAUUGAAGUGGGGAGAAAUCCAAGCUUAAGUGCUGAAAUUGGUUUUUGGUAGAUUUUAGUGGAAUUGAUGUUUAGAUCUUGAUUGUGGAUCUUUGUUGGCUGAAAGCAGGUGCAGCUGGUUCCGACAGGGUGUCCCGCAGCUGAGUGACCUUCUUUGUCGCCAGGAUUAGCAAUUAAGGUGGGUUACAUCGGUUUAUUUCCUAAGCACAUUAUUCGUCGACAUGUAUGAUUUACAGUCUUUGUAAAUAAUGUUGUAGCUCAAUUUCGUUGAUUGUAUCAUGGAUGAAAUCAGCAUUGAGGAUAUGAUUAGUAAACCAUAAAUAUACAUGUUGGACUUGAAACUUGACUUAGGAGAAAACCAGCGAUUUGGACCUGUCACCUGUUUACACUACCUGAUUUAGCUCUAGGAGCCGGUGUAAUUUUGUAUCGUCGCAGUAUCGAGGCGACGGGUAUCACAGGUAGUUUAGCUUUCAGUUACGCUCGUGCUGGGAUGCCGAAUGUAUUUUUACAGUAGCGUUCAGGCUGUUCUGGACUGUUGGGUUCCGUCGGGGUUGACGGUGGACCUAUAUCGCCUUUUUGGCGUCGGAUUGUGCCGAGGGCACGUGACCUGUUGGUUGUUAGACCAGU